AUGGUAGGAUAGAGGCCUACCAUGGUUUUAACGGGUAACGGGGAAUUAGGGUUCGAUUCCGGAGAGGGAGCCUGAGAAACGGCUACCACAUCCAAGGAAGGCAGCAGGCGCGCAAAUUACCCAAUCCCGACACGGGGAGGUAGUGACAAUAAAUAACAAUAUGGGGCUCUUACGAGUCUCGUAAUUGGAAUGAGUACAAUUUAAAUCUCUUAACGAGGAACAAUUGGAGGGCAAGUCUGGUGCCAGCAGCCGCGGUAAUUCCAGCCCCAAUAGCGUAUAUNAAAGUUGUUGCAGUUAAAAAGCUCGUAGUUGAAUUUCGGAAUCUGUCCGUCGGUCGGGCUUCACUGUCCGUACUGGUGUGAUGGGUUUCUACCUUCUGAAUAACCGGCAUGUCAUUAAUUUGGUGCGCCGGGGAAGCAGAACUAUUACCUUGAAAAAAUUAGAGUGCUUAAAGCAGGCUAUCGCCUGAAUAGAUUAGCAUGGAAUAAUAAAAUAGGACGGCAUGGUUCUAUUUUGUUGGUUUCUAGGAUCACCGUAAUGAUUAAUAGGGAUAGUUGGGGGCAUUAGUAUUCAAUUGUCAGAGGUGAAAUUCUUGGAUUUAUUGAAGACUAACUUCUGCGAAAGCAUUUGCCAAGGAUGUUUUCAUUAAUCAAGAACGAAAGUUAGGGGAUCGAAGACGAUCAGAUACCGUCGUAGUCUUAACCAUAAACUAUGCCGACUAGGGAUCGGACGAUGUUAAUUUUUUAAUGACUCGUUCGGCGCCUUACGGGAAACCAAAGUGUUUGGG
This 787-nucleotide ribosomal RNA is filed under the name uncultured Acaulospora. Its description in RNAcentral is "SSU rRNA". It matches the Rfam family "Eukaryotic small subunit ribosomal RNA", at positions 325 to 1111 of the family's 1831-position model. Lineage: Eukaryota; Fungi; Glomeromycota; Glomeromycetes; Diversisporales; Acaulosporaceae. The record is from RNAcentral.